AUGGUGGAUGCCAUGGAGACCAUCGAGGCGCGGGUGGGAGAACAGCUGCAGCUUCUGCAAACGGUGGGCGACAAGUUGGGUAAGUUGGAUGAUCUGUUUAGUCGCUUGGAUUCCCUUGAUCAACAGUUUGCGGCACAGGCAGCGCAGAUGCAUAUUGUUCAGAACAAUGUCAGUCUCACGAUGAAGUCGAUUGGGGAAAUUAGACAGGAGCAGGCAGCAGCUGCUCGUGAGUCAGGACCGAAGCAAUCUCCUCCGAGCGCGUCCACUAGCGAUGGCAUUUUGGGUACGCCACCGCAGCAUAGGCAACCGGCCGUUCCACCACCUGUGUUUAUGACUCAAGUUGGGCAUUCUGCAACAGAGCAUUUUGGGACAGAAGUUCAGUUGAAGAAACCGUGGAUGCCCAAAAUGGAUUUUCCCCGUUUUGAGGGAGAGGAUGUCCGUAUCUGGCUAGAUGGAUGUGAGGCCUACUUCUCAUUGUAUGCUAUCCCUGAAGAAUUCAAGGUCACGUCAGCUACGCUGCACCUGUCUGGUGAUGCAGCAAAUUGGUUUCAUGCAUACAAGGCUCUGCAUCAGUGGCCGUGCUGGAAUGAGUUUAGGAUGGCAGUUAUGCAGGAGUUUGAUGUGAAUGUUCAUCGCUCAAAGAUGAGAGCUCUGUUGUUACUUAAACAGACCGGAUCAGUGGCUGAGUACAAACGGGAGUUCACCCAACUAGUGUAUCAACUUUUGUUGUAUGAACCGACAGUGAGCGACACAUUUUUGGUGACGAGGUUCACUCUGGGCCUCAAGGAAGAACUCCGGGCUGCUGUUGAUAUGCAGCUACCCACUACUGUUAGUGAAGCAGCUUCAUAUGCAUUGAUCCAGGAAGAGAUUGUACAGCGUGCUCGCUCUAACAGAAGUUUUACUACCAGAACUGCCUUCUUCAAGCCGGACACACGCCCAAGCACUCCACCAGCUGGAGAGCUAUGGAAAGCAAGACAGUUGAAGGAGUAUAGGCGCACUAAUGGCCUGUGUUUCAGUUGCGGUGACAAAUACGCACCUGGUCAUACUUGUGUGAAACCACCCACUCCUACUACAGUCAUGGCCAUGACUAGUGCAGCUGAAGCCAUUUUGUCGGAUGAUAUACUUGAUGCAGUAGAAGAACAAGAAACUGCUUUGCAAGAAAUGCACUUGUCUGUUAAUGCCUUGUUUGGAGCUGAUCACCCUAGAACCAUUCGCUUGCGAGCUCUUAUUGGCAAUCAAGUGGUACUUAUUCUCCUAGACUCCGGUAGUACUCACAGUUUCAUGGAUUCAGCGUUGCUGCCCAGAAUUCAAGUGACACCACAACAAUUGUCCAAAGAAAUCUCUGUAACAGUGGCCAAUGGAGAGAAACUGUUGUGUAAUUCUGAAGUGCCCCAGCUCAACUGGUGGAUCCAGGGACACACAUUUGAGUAUGAUUUUAAAGUUCUUGAUUUGGGAGGUUAUGAUCUCAUUUUGGGCAUGGACUGGUUGGAAGCUCAAGGGGAAAUGACAUGUCACUGGAGAAACAAAUGGAUCCAGUUCAAUCACAAGGAUAGUCUGGUUAAGCUGCAAGGAAUUCUUCCACAGUCUACAGAGGACAUCAAGGAGGUCACUCUAGAACAAACUAUGAAAUGGCACAAAGGCAAUGAUAUUUGGGCAGUGGCACUGAUACAGCCAGUAUGGGACAAAAAGCCUGACCUUGUUCCUGAUCCAGUACAACCCUUGUUACAGGAGUUUGCAGAUGUCUUCAAAGAACCUACGGAGCUACCACCCUCUCGAACUUUGAACCAUGCAAUACACUUGUUACCAGGGGCCGCUCCUGUCAACUCCAAACCUUACAGAUACUCACCACUGCAAAAAGAUGAGAUUGAAAGGCAAGUUGCAGAAAUGCUUAAAGCUGGUACUAUCACUCCCAGUCUCAGCUCUUUUGCUUCUCCUGUCCUAUUGGUAAAAAAGAAAGAUGGAUCUUGGAGAUUUUGUGUAGAUUAUCGGAAGCUAAAUUCCAUCACUGUGAAGAGCAAGUUCCCAAUGCCAGUGGUAGAUGAGCUUUUGGAUGAGCUUAGUGGCACUAAGUGGUUCUCCAAGUUAGAUCUCAGGUCAGGAUAUCAUCAAAUUAGAAUGUUACCGGAGGAUGAACACAAAACAGCUUUCAAAACUCAUAGUGGACAGUAUCAAUUUAGGGUGAUGCCUUUUGGUCUUACUAAUGCCCCCUCCACUUUUCAAUGCAUCAUGAAUUGGAUUUUUGCUGCUUACAACAGAAAAUUUGUUCUUGUCUUCAUGGAUGAUAUCUUAAUCUUUAGUGAGACCCUGGAAGAACAUUUGGAACAUCUCAGAAUAGUGUUUCAAACCUUAAGAGAGCAUCAGUUCUUUGCUAAGAGUACCAAAUGCACUUUUGCAUAG
RNAcentral lists this ribosomal RNA (2397 nucleotides) under Triticum aestivum (bread wheat). Its description in RNAcentral is "partial small subunit ribosomal RNA". The record is from RNAcentral. Lineage: Eukaryota; Viridiplantae; Streptophyta; Magnoliopsida; Poales; Poaceae.